Molecule: unclassified non-coding RNA, 236 nt
Filed under: uncultured fungus
Lineage: Eukaryota; Fungi
Description: partial contains 18S rRNA, ITS1 and 5.8S rRNA
Rfam family: Eukaryotic small subunit ribosomal RNA (bases 1-41)
Source: RNAcentral
GUAACAAGGUUUCCGUAGGUGAACCUGCGGAGGGAUCAUUACACAAAUAUGAAGGCGGGCUGGAACCUCUCGGGGUUACAGCCUUGCUGAAUUAUUCACCCUUGUCUUUUGCGUACUUCUUGUUUCCUUGGUGGGUUCGCCCACCACUAGGACAAACAUAAACCUUUUGUAAUUGCAAUCAGCGUCAGUAACAAAUUAAUAAUUACAACUUUCAACAACGGAUCUCUUGGUUCUGG